This 352-nucleotide unclassified non-coding RNA is filed under the name soil metagenome. Its description in RNAcentral is "partial contains 5.8S ribosomal RNA, internal transcribed spacer 2, and large subunit ribosomal RNA". The stretch from base 1 to 121 matches the Rfam family "5.8S ribosomal RNA", at positions 35 to 154 of the family's 154-position model. The record is from RNAcentral.
GAUGAAGAACGUAGCGAAAUGCGAUAAGUAAUGCGAAUUGCAGAAUUUCCGUGAGUCAUCGAAUCUUUGAACGCACAUUGCGCCCACUGGUAUUCCGGUGGGCAUGCCUGUUCGAGCGUCAUUAUCCUCCCUCAAAACUCCUGUUUUGGUGUUGGGCCGCGUUAGUCACCUCCGACCAACGGGCCUCAAAGACAAUGACGGCGUCCGUGGGACCCUCUUCGCAGUGAGCUUUUGUUAGCGCGCGUUGAGUUUAAAGGACCUUCCGGGCCGGCCACCUUUAUCUAUUUUACAAGGUUGACCUCGGAUCAGGUAGGAAUACCCGCUGAACUUAAGCAUAUCAAUAAGCGGAGGA